Molecule: non-coding RNA, 50 nt
Submitted as: unclassified sequences
Source: Rfam
CGGGGUUGAAGCAGGCACCCCGUUAGACGGCCUAUCCGUCCAAGUUCUGC